Molecule: ribosomal RNA, 393 nt
Filed under: Triticum aestivum (bread wheat)
Lineage: Eukaryota; Viridiplantae; Streptophyta; Magnoliopsida; Poales; Poaceae
Description: partial small subunit ribosomal RNA
Source: RNAcentral
AUGCUUGUUACUGCAUAUUCUGAUGCAGACUGGACAGGUUGCCCUGAUGACAGAAGGUCCACAAGUGGUUUUGCUGUGUUUCUGGGAAUAAAUCUCGUAUCAUGGAGUGCAAGAAAACAGGCUACAGUUUCAAGGUCAAGCACUGAGGCUGAGUAUAAAGCUUUGGCAAAUGCAACAGCUGAAGUAAUAUGGAUACAGACUUUACUUUAUGAGCUUGGUAUUAAGGCUCCACAAGCUGCUAGGUUAUGGUGUGAUAACAUUGGUGCUACCUAUCUUUCAGCCAAUCCUGUUUUCCAUGCACGUACCAAACAUAUUGAAGUUGAUUUUCACUUUGUCAGAGAAAGAGUAGCUCGAAAGCUACUUGACAUUCGGUUCAUACCUACAGGAGACUAA